This is a long non-coding RNA of Etheostoma spectabile (orangethroat darter), 352 nucleotides long. RefSeq lists it as uncharacterized. The transcript has 2 exons. NCBI's taxonomy places the organism in Eukaryota, Metazoa, Chordata, Actinopteri, Perciformes, Percidae. The record is from RefSeq and is a predicted model, not a curated record.
UGCAACUUCAAGCCGCGACACACUGGACUGUCACAUAGCGUCGCUUCCCCCCCCCCGGACAGCACAGCAGCGUCACACUGCCAGCUGUGGAUCCAGUCCGGAGAGAGUCUGCUCCGCGUUACCAAGCGCAACUCUUGGACAUCAGUCACAAGGAGGAAAAGAUUCUUUGAAGGACUGUAAACUCUUUGGGGUUCUGGACCAAAUAUGACGAGAUCCAGACAGCUUCCGACCCUGUUCUGCUAUGAGCCAAACACACUUACUGCUGACCGGGUGGAGGAUUUUUUCAGCAUUCAUCUCACUCCAGAAAGGAGCAACAAGACUUUCUGUAGGAAUUAUCUCCAAGAUGCAGAAG